UUUUGGUCCCUUAAAUAUAUUUUAGGUUUCACAAUGGUCCCUUAAAGAAAAAAAAAGGUCAGGAUUGGUCCCUUAAAGACACAUUCGUUUCUCAAUUGGUCCUUUCCGUCAAUUUUUUGCAAAAAACGUUAGUUUUAGUAGACUGGAUUGUGGAUGUCAUUAAGUGUAAGUGAUCCACCAAAAACCUUAUUAAUUUUUAAAAUUUUAACCAUUGGAAUUUUUUGUUAUAUUUGGAGUUAAAAUUUAACGGAAAUGACCAAUAUGACAAAAAUAUAUGUCUUUAAGGGACCAAUCCGGACAUUUUUUUCUUUAAGGGACCAAUCCAGACCUUUUUUUCUUUAAGGGACCUUUGUAAAACCUAAAAUGUCUUUAAGGGACCAAUAGACUAAUUAAGCAAUUUUUUUUUUAUAUUCUAAGGAAAUUUUGUAGUAUUUUUUUUUGGUAGAAGGAAAUUUUGUAGUAUUAAUAAGAGAUAUAAUAAUAGAACAUACUAAAAUGUUUUUUUUUU
RNAcentral lists this long non-coding RNA (508 nucleotides) under Trifolium pratense (red clover). Its description in RNAcentral is "long non-coding RNA (TPRA_LNC013033)". Lineage: Eukaryota; Viridiplantae; Streptophyta; Magnoliopsida; Fabales; Fabaceae. The record is from RNAcentral.